This 429-nucleotide ribosomal RNA is filed under the name bacterium. RNAcentral describes it as "partial 16S ribosomal RNA". It matches the Rfam family "Bacterial small subunit ribosomal RNA", at positions 355 to 776 of the family's 1533-position model. The record is from RNAcentral.
UAGGGAAUCUUCGGCAAUGGGGGCAACCCUGACCGAGCAACGCCGCGUGAGUGAAGAAGGUUUUCGGAUCGUAAAGCUCUGUUGUAAGAGAAGAACGUGUGUGAGAGUGGAAAGUUCACACAGUGACGGUAACUUCCCAGAAAGGGACGGCUAACUACGUGCCAGCAGCCGCGGUAAUACGUAGGUCCCGAGCGUUGUCCGGAUUUAUUGGGCGUAAAGCGAGCGCAGGCGGUUUAAUAAGUCUGAAGUUAAAGGCAGUGGCUUAACCAUUGUUCGCUUUGGAAACUGUUAAACUUGAGUGCAGAAGGGGAGAGUGGAAUUCCAUGUGUAGCGGUGAAAUGCGUAGAUAUAUGGAGGAACACCGGUGGCGAAAGCGGCUCUCUGGUCUGUAACUGACGCUGAGGCUCGAAAGCGUGGGGAGCAAACAGG